RNAcentral lists this transfer RNA (71 nucleotides) under Synchiropus altivelis. Its description in RNAcentral is "Foetorepus altivelis tRNA-Val". It matches the Rfam family "tRNA". Rfam says of the family: Transfer RNA (tRNA) molecules are approximately 80 nucleotides in length. The record is from RNAcentral. Lineage: Eukaryota; Metazoa; Chordata; Actinopteri; Syngnathiformes; Callionymidae.
CAGGUUGUAGCUAAAAAGAAAAGCAUCUCAUUUACACCGAGAAGAUACCCGUGCAAUUCGAGUCACCCUGA